GGCGCUUUGGCUUAGUGGUAAAGCGUCUAUCUUGUAAACAGAAGAUCAUGGGUUCGAAUCCCAUAAGUGCCU
This 72-nucleotide transfer RNA is filed under the name Hepatospora eriocheir. It matches the Rfam family "tRNA". Rfam says of the family: Transfer RNA (tRNA) molecules are approximately 80 nucleotides in length. Lineage: Eukaryota; Fungi; Microsporidia; Hepatosporidae. The record is from Rfam by way of RNAcentral.